This 743-nucleotide ribosomal RNA is filed under the name uncultured bacterium. RNAcentral's name for it is "bacterial SSU rRNA". It matches the Rfam family "Bacterial small subunit ribosomal RNA", at positions 33 to 773 of the family's 1533-position model. The record is from RNAcentral.
ACGCUAGCGGCAGGCCUAAUACAUGCAAGUCGAACGAUACUCUUUAGCUUGCUAAGGAGGAAAGUGGCGCACGGGUGCGUAACGCGUAUGCAACCUACCUUAAUCAGGGGGAUAGCCCGAAGAAAUUCGGAUUAACACCGCAUAAAAUCACAGUACAGCAUUGUACAAUGAUCAAAUAUUUAUAGGAUUAAGAUGGGCAUGCGUGACAUUAGUUAGUUGGCGGGGUAACGGCCCACCAAGACCACGAUGUCUAGGGGAUCUGAGAGGAUGACCCCCCACACUGGUACUGAGACACGGACCAGACUCCUACGGGAGGCAGCAGUAAGGAAUAUUGGUCAAUGGAGGCAACUCUGAACCAGCCAUGCCGCGUGCAGGAAGACAGCCCUCUGGGUCGUAAACUGCUUUUAUUCGGGAAUAAACCUAUCUACGUGUAGAUAGCUGAAUGUACCGAAGGAAUAAGGAUCGGCUAACUCCGUGCCAGCAGCCGCGGUAAUACGGAGGAUCCAAGCGUUAUCCGGAUUUAUUGGGUUUAAAGGGUGCGUAGGCGGCUUUUUAAGUCAGGGGUGAAAGACGGUGGCUCAACCAUCGCAGUGCCCUUGAUACUGAAGAGCUUGAAUGAACUAGAGGUAGGCGGAAUGUGACAAGUAGCGGUGAAAUGCAUAGAUAUGUCACAGAACACCGAUUGCGAAGGCAGCUUACUAUGGUUAAAUUGACGCUGAGGCACGAAAGCGUGGGGAUCAAAC